GGGUUUUCCUUUGUGCUUGAUCUAACCAUGUGGUAGAACAAUACGAAUUGAACAUGGUUCUGUCAAGCACCAUGGAAGGCUG
Pygoscelis adeliae (Adelie penguin) is the source of this 82-nucleotide non-coding RNA. NCBI's taxonomy places the organism in Eukaryota, Metazoa, Chordata, Aves, Sphenisciformes, Spheniscidae. The record is from Rfam.